CGACCGGCGCACGGGUGAGUAACGCGUAUCCAACCUGCCCUUUACUAUGGGACAGCCCGUCGAAAGGCGGAUUAAUACCGUAUGUUGUCAUGUUGAUGCAUAUUUUCAUGACCAAAGGCUUCGGCCGGUAAAGGAUGGGGAUGCGUCUGAUUAGCUUGCCGGCGGGGUAACGGCCCACCGAGGCAUCGAUGGAUAGGGGUUCUGAGAGGAAGGUCCCCCACAUUGGAACUGAGACACGGUCCAAACUCCUACGGGAGGCAGCAG
This 264-nucleotide ribosomal RNA is filed under the name uncultured bacterium. RNAcentral describes it as "partial 16S ribosomal RNA". It matches the Rfam family "Bacterial small subunit ribosomal RNA", at positions 92 to 354 of the family's 1533-position model. The record is from RNAcentral.